CGCGCGCUGCAGCUGGCGAAGCGUCCGCGCGACGGCGUCGGAAGGUUCGAGUCCUUCGUCGCGCAACCA
This 69-nucleotide transfer RNA is filed under the name Gemmatimonadota bacterium. RNAcentral's name for it is "Gemmatimonadetes bacterium (activated sludge metagenome) tRNA-OTHER". The record is from RNAcentral. Lineage: Bacteria; Pseudomonadati; Gemmatimonadota.